GACUGAGAUCAGGACUCUUAUCGUACUGAGCGUGGCCCUGUUCUCCAGGCGCUGCAGAGACCCCAGCUUUCAAGGACAUGCAGCUUUUCUUGUAUGAUGUUCCUGUCCUCCUCCGUAUUGGCAAUCCCUCCCGGCUCUGUGUCCCACUCCCACUUCUUGUGCCAAGAUCACUAAUAAAAGUGUUGAGUAA
Long non-coding RNA from Mauremys reevesii (Reeves's turtle), 190 nucleotides. RefSeq lists it as uncharacterized. Lineage: Eukaryota; Metazoa; Chordata; Testudines; Geoemydidae. The transcript has 2 exons. The record is from RefSeq and is a predicted model, not a curated record.